Pelobates cultripes (western spadefoot toad) is the source of this 440-nucleotide non-coding RNA. The record is from the annotation of a GenBank genome assembly. NCBI's taxonomy places the organism in Eukaryota, Metazoa, Chordata, Amphibia, Anura, Pelobatidae.
GCCUAAACACUGCUUACACUGUGAAUGUUAUUUUUUCAAGUUAGUUUUAGUGUUUGCGGUUUCAUUGAUUUGUUAACCACUCUCCUCAAUCUUCUGUUCUGUGUUUUCUUACAUUUGUGGGAAGAACAAGGUGAUCCUCUCAAUUUUACACUCCUCUACUGAUGGUUCCAGUGCCAGAGACAAACCCACCACCAUUAACCUCGACCUGCUCAAACAGAAGAGAUUACCUUCUUCUAUAGAAAACUUCCAUAUGGCUGCUUCGGAACACAUGCUGCAGACAUGAUGUAACCUUCAUUUUCCAGUGAUUAAGAAUCGUGGUCCGUCCAGGGAAAGAGACCAUUAUAUUAUAUUAUUAAGAUACUACCUUCCUAGUGCCAUACAGCCUUUCUUUACAUGUGAUUGAACUUUCUCCUUCUUGGAUACCACAGUGUGACUUUUCU